UACAGAGGGUGCAAGCGUUAAUCGGAAUUACUGGGCGUAAAGCGUGCGUAGACGGUUAUGUAAGUCGGGUGUGAAAGCCCCGGGCUCAACCUGGGAAUUGCAUUCGAUACUGGAUAGCUAGGGUACGGAAGAGGGAAGCGGAAUUUCAGGUGUAGCGGUGAAAUGCGUAGAUAUCUGAAGGAACACCAGUGGCGAAAGCGGCUUCCUGGUCCAGUACCGACGUUCAGGCACGAAAGCGUGGGGAGCAAACAGG
This 253-nucleotide ribosomal RNA is filed under the name uncultured bacterium. RNAcentral's name for it is "partial 16S ribosomal RNA". It matches the Rfam family "Bacterial small subunit ribosomal RNA", at positions 524 to 776 of the family's 1533-position model. The record is from RNAcentral.